GGGAAACACCCUAUAUAGAUGCAGAAAUAAUGUUUAAUUUGGGCACCCCAAUGGCCCAGUCAAGAUGACACAUAAAAUUAACCAUCACGCAAACUGAAUGACUUUUAGGAAACUUAUUAAUGCUUUGUACUUUUGUAUUUUGCCUAGUAUUUUUUCACUGAAAAUGCAGAGAUAACAGCUAUUUUGUUAUACCAUACUGAGGAUCCGAAGACAGUUUAUUCAAAGUGCCUAACAUAAGGAGAGAGAGAAAAUCUGAAGCAUGCUCCAUGCCCAUCAUAGAGCCGGACACAGAACCCAAUCCCACAACCCCGAGAUCACGACCUGAACCAGAAUGGAGUUGGACGCUUAACUGAUUCAGCUACCCAGGAAAAAAAACCUGCAGAGAGAGGAAAAGCACGAGAUGGUCCCCAAGGAUCAUGGAGCUCAGAAGGAGACCAGUACCCAGGACUUAAACUUUAGAGCAAUGAGCAAGGUGGGGGAGGGGUGGAGGAUGGGUGAAGGGAGAGAGAGACAGAAUCUUAAGCAGGCUCCAUGCCCAGUGUGGAACUCUGCGUGGGACUUCGUCUCAUGAACCUGAGAUCAUGGCCUGAGUUGAAAUCAAGAGUUGGAUGCUUAACUGACUGAGCCACCCAGGUGCCCUUUUUUUGUUUGGGUAGAUAUUUGUCUGUCUUAUUUGUACUAGAAAAGAUUUCAAUGUUGCUUUGCAAUUUCUACAAAUGUUAGAUUUCUACUUUAUUAAUUUCUGCUUCUAUCUCUAUGAAUUCCUUAUUUUGACUUCUUUUUGGCUUCCUCCCUUAUUUAUUUACUGGCUCCUUUAGAGGAAUGUUGAAUUAACUUGAAUUUGACAUACCUUAUUUUCUAAUAAAUAUAUGUGGGGUAAUACUAUUUUUAUUGCACACCUCUUGAC
This 907-nucleotide long non-coding RNA is filed under the name Mustela putorius furo (domestic ferret). RNAcentral describes it as "lncRNA (ENSMPUG00000030478.1)". The record is from RNAcentral. Lineage: Eukaryota; Metazoa; Chordata; Mammalia; Carnivora; Mustelidae.